UACGUAGGGUGCGAGCGUUAAUCGGAAUUACUGGGCGUAAAGUGUGCGCAGGCGGCCAUGCAAGUCGAGUGUGAAAGCCCCGGGCUUAACUUGGGAAUUGCGCUCGAAACUACGUGGCUGGAGUGUGGCAGAGGAAGGUGGAAUUCCACGUGUAGCGGUGAAAUGCGUAGAGAUGUGGAGGAACACCGAUGGCGAAGGCAAUCCCCUGGGCCUGCACUGACGCUCAUGCACGAAAGCGUGGGGAGCAAACAGG
This 253-nucleotide ribosomal RNA is filed under the name uncultured bacterium. Its description in RNAcentral is "partial 16S ribosomal RNA". It matches the Rfam family "Bacterial small subunit ribosomal RNA", at positions 524 to 776 of the family's 1533-position model. The record is from RNAcentral.